GUAUGAGUAUGGUGUAGUGGUUUGAGUGUUGGUCUACAACACUGGAGACCUGGGUUUGAUUCCCAGCUCAGCCA
Phrynosoma platyrhinos (Desert horned lizard) is the source of this 74-nucleotide non-coding RNA. The record is from the annotation of a GenBank genome assembly. Lineage: Eukaryota; Metazoa; Chordata; Lepidosauria; Squamata; Phrynosomatidae.